Molecule: ribosomal RNA, 253 nt
Filed under: uncultured bacterium
Lineage: Bacteria
Description: partial 16S ribosomal RNA
Rfam family: Bacterial small subunit ribosomal RNA
Source: RNAcentral
UACGUAGGGUGCGAGCGUUGUCCGGAAUCAUUGGGCGUAAAGAGCGUGUAGGCGGCUAUUUAAGUCCUGCGUGAAAUCCUGCGGCUCAACCGCAGACGGUCGUGGGAAACUGGAUGGCUAGAGUGCGGGAGAGGAGAGUGGAAUUCCCGGUGUAGCGGUGAAAUGCGCAGAUAUCAGGAGGAACACCAGUGGCGAAGGCGGCUCACUGGACCGGUACUGACGCUGAUGCGCGAAAGCGUGGGGAGCAAACGGG